Molecule: small nuclear RNA, 107 nt
Organism: Vulpes vulpes (red fox)
Lineage: Eukaryota; Metazoa; Chordata; Mammalia; Carnivora; Canidae
Source: Ensembl
GUACUCACUUCGGGAGCACACAUCCUGAAAUUGGAAUCAUACAGAGAAAAUCAGUAUGGCCCCUGCAUGAGGAUGACACAAACAUUCAUGAAGGCUUCCAUAGUUUU